Molecule: ribosomal RNA, 433 nt
Filed under: uncultured bacterium
Lineage: Bacteria
Description: partial 16S ribosomal RNA
Rfam family: Bacterial small subunit ribosomal RNA
Source: RNAcentral
AGCGAACGCUGGCGGCAGGCCUAACACAUGCAAGUCGAACGAACUCUUCGGAGUUAGUGGCGGACGGGUGAGUAACACGUGGGAACGUGCCUUUUGGUUCGGAAUAACUCAGGGAAACUUGUGCUAAUACCGAAUGUGCCCUUCGGGGGAAAGAUUUAUCGCCAUUAGAGCGGCCCGCGUCUGAUUAGCUAGUUGGUGAGGUAACGGCUCACCAAGGCGACGAUCAGUAGCUGGUCUGAGAGGAUGACCAGCCACACUGGGACUGAGACACGGCGCAGACUCCUACGGGAGGCAGCAGUGGGGAAUCUUGCGCAAUGGGCGAAAGCCUGACGCAGCCAUGCCGCGUGAAUGAUGAAGGUCUUAGGAUUGUAAAAUUCUUUCACCGGGGACGAUAAUGACGGUACCCGGAGAAGAAGCCCCGGCUAACUUCGUG